GACAGAGGCCCCAAGCGUUAGGCGGAAUCACUGGGCUUAAAGCGUGUGUAGGCGGAUCGUUAAGUGUCUUGUGAAAUCCCACGGCUCACCCGUGGAACUGCUGGGCAUACUGGCGAUCUUGGGCCAACUAGGGGCAGUCGGAACAAGCGGUGGAGCGGUGAAAUGCGUAGAUAUCGCUUGGAACGCCGAAGGUGAAAACAGACUGCUGGGGUUGCGCCGACGCUGAGACACGAAAGCCAGGGAGCAAACGGG
RNAcentral lists this ribosomal RNA (252 nucleotides) under uncultured bacterium. RNAcentral's name for it is "partial 16S ribosomal RNA". It matches the Rfam family "Bacterial small subunit ribosomal RNA", at positions 524 to 776 of the family's 1533-position model. The record is from RNAcentral.